This 460-nucleotide ribosomal RNA is filed under the name uncultured bacterium. Its description in RNAcentral is "partial 16S ribosomal RNA". It matches the Rfam family "Bacterial small subunit ribosomal RNA", at positions 338 to 795 of the family's 1533-position model. The record is from RNAcentral.
CCUACGGGGAGCAGCAGUGAGGAAUAUUGGUCAAUGGACGCAAGUCUGAACCAGCCAUGCCGCGUGCAGGAAGACGGCUCUAUGAGUUGUAAACUGCUUUUGUACGAGGGUAAACGCAGAUACGCGUAUCUGUCUGAAAGUAUCGUACGAAUAAGGAUCGGCUAACUCCGUGCCAGCAGCCGCGGUAAUACGGAGGAUUCAAGCGUUAUCCGGAUUUAUUGGGUGUAAAGGGUGCGUAGGCGGUCGGAUAAGUUAGAGGUGAGAUCCCGAGGCUCAACUUCGGAAUUGCCUGUGAUACUGUUCGGCGAGAGAGUAGUUGCGGUAGGCGGAAUGUAUGGUGUAGCGGUGAAAUGCUUAGAGAUCAUACAGAACACCGAGUGCGAAGGCAGCUUACCAAGCUACUUCUGACGUUGAGGCACGAAAGCGUGGGGAGCAAACAGGAUUAGAUACCCUUGUAGUG